RNAcentral lists this ribosomal RNA (1759 nucleotides) under Staphylococcus aureus. RNAcentral's name for it is "partial 23S ribosomal RNA". It matches the Rfam family "Bacterial large subunit ribosomal RNA", at positions 1162 to 2925 of the family's 2925-position model. Lineage: Bacteria; Bacillati; Bacillota; Bacilli; Caryophanales; Staphylococcaceae. The record is from RNAcentral.
CGCCGAAAAUGUACCGGGGCUAAACAUAUUACCGAAGCUGUGGAUUGUCCUUUGGACAAUGGUAGGAGAGCGUUCUAAGGGCGUUGAAGCAUGAUCGUAAGGACAUGUGGAGCGCUUAGAAAUGAGAAUGCCGGUGUGAGUAGCGAAAGACGGGUGAGAAUCCCGUCCACCGAUUGACUAAGGUUUCCAGAGGAAGGCUCGUCCGCUCUGGGUUAGUCGGGUCCUAAGCUGAGGCCGACAGGCGUAGGCGAUGGAUAACAGGUUGAUAUUCCUGUACCACCUAUAAUCGUUUUAAUCGAUGGGGGGACGCAGUAGGAUAGGCGAAGCGUGCGAUUGGAUUGCACGUCUAAGCAGUAAGGCUGAGUAUUAGGCAAAUCCGGUACUCGUUAAGGCUGAGCUGUGAUGGGGAGAAGACAUUGAGUCUUCGAGUCGUUGAUUUCACACUGCCGAGAAAAGCCUCUAGAUAGAAAAUAGGUGCCCGUACCGCAAACCGACACAGGUAGUCAAGAUGAGAAUUCUAAGGUGAGCGAGCGAACUCUCGUUAAGGAACUCGGCAAAAUGACCCCGUAACUUCGGGAGAAGGGGUGCUCUUUAGGGUUAACGCCCAGAAGAGCCGCAGUGAAUAGGCCCAAGCGACUGUUUAUCAAAAACACAGGUCUCUGCUAAACCGUAAGGUGAUGUAUAGGGGCUGACGCCUGCCCGGUGCUGGAAGGUUAAGAGGAGUGGUUAGCUUCUGCGAAGCUACGAAUCGAAGCCCCAGUAAACGGCGGCCGUAACUAUAACGGUCCUAAGGUAGCGAAAUUCCUUGUCGGGUAAGUUCCGACCCGCACGAAAGGCGUAACGAUUUGGGCACUGUCUCAACGAGAGACUCGGUGAAAUCAUAGUACCUGUGAAGAUGCAGGUUACCCGCGACAGGACGGAAAGACCCCGUGGAGCUUUACUGUAGCCUGAUAUUGAAAUUCGGCACAGCUUGUACAGGAUAGGUAGGAGCCUUUGAAACGUGAGCGCUAGCUUACGUGGAGGCGCUGGUGGGAUACUACCCUAGCUGUGUUGGCUUUCUAACCCGCACCACUUAUCGUGGUGGGAGACAGUGUCAGGCGGGCAGUUUGACUGGGGCGGUCGCCUCCUAAAAGGUAACGGAGGCGCUCAAAGGUUCCCUCAGAAUGGUUGGAAAUCAUUCAUAGAGUGUAAAGGCAUAAGGGAGCUUGACUGCGAGACCUACAAGUCGAGCAGGGUCGAAAGACGGACUUAGUGAUCCGGUGGUUCCGCAUGGAAGGGCCAUCGCUCAACGGAUAAAAGCUACCCCGGGGAUAACAGGCUUAUCUCCCCCAAGAGUUCACAUCGACGGGGAGGUUUGGCACCUCGAUGUCGGCUCAUCGCAUCCUGGGGCUGUAGUCGGUCCCAAGGGUUGGGCUGUUCGCCCAUUAAAGCGGUACGCGAGCUGGGUUCAGAACGUCGUGAGACAGUUCGGUCCCUAUCCGUCGUGGGCGUAGGAAAUUUGAGAGGAGCUGUCCUUAGUACGAGAGGACCGGGAUGGACAUACCUCUGGUGUACCAGUUGUCGUGCCAACGGCAUAGCUGGGUAGCUAUGUGUGGACGGGAUAAGUGCUGAAAGCAUCUAAGCAUGAAGCCCCCCUCAAGAUGAGAUUUCCCAACUUCGGUUAUAAGAUCCCUCAAAGAUGAUGAGGUUAAUAGGUUCGAGGUGGAAGCAUGGUGACAUGUGGAGCUGACGAAUACUAAUCGAUCGAAGACUUAAUCAA